UACGGGGGGAGCAAACGUUGUUCGGAGUUACUGGGCGUAAAGGGCGUGUAGGCGGCCAUAUAAGUCGGGGGCGAAAUCCACUGGCUCAACCAGUGACGUGCCCUCGAAACUGCAUGGCUUGAGUAUGGCAGAGGGAAGUGGAAUUCCAGGUGUAGCGGUGAAAUGCGUAGAUAUCUGGAAGAACACCGGUGGCGAAGGCGACUUCCUGGGCCAAUACUGACGCUGAUGCGCGAAAGUCAGGGGAGCGAACGGG
This 253-nucleotide ribosomal RNA is filed under the name uncultured bacterium. RNAcentral describes it as "partial 16S ribosomal RNA". It matches the Rfam family "Bacterial small subunit ribosomal RNA", at positions 524 to 776 of the family's 1533-position model. The record is from RNAcentral.